AAUAGAUACCCCGGUAGUCCACGCCGUAAACGAUGUCGACUUGGAGGUUGUGCCCUUGAGGCGUGGCUUCCGGAGCUAACGCGUUAAGUCGACCGCCUGGGGAGUACGGCCGCAAGGUUAAAACUCAAAUGAAUUGACGGGGGGCCCGCACAAGCGGUGGAGCAUGUGGUUUAAUUCGAUGCAACGCGAAGAACCUUACCUACUCUUGACAUCCAGAGAACUUAGCAGAGAUGCUUUGGUGCCUUCGGGAACUCUGAGACAGGUGCUGCAUGGCUGUCGUCAGCUCGUGUUGUGAAAUGUUGGGUUAAGUCCCGCAACGAGCGCAACCCUUAUCCUUUGUUGCCAGCGGUUAGGCCGGGAACUCAAAGGAGACUGCCAGUGAUAAACUGGAGGAAGGUGGGGAUGACGUCAAGUCAUCAUGGCCCUUACGAGUAGGGCUACACACGUGCUACAAUGGCAUAUACAAAGGAGAAGCGACCUCGCGAGAGCAAGCGGACCUCAUAAAGUAUGUCGUAGUCCGGAUUGGAGU
This 529-nucleotide ribosomal RNA is filed under the name uncultured bacterium. RNAcentral describes it as "bacterial SSU rRNA". It matches the Rfam family "Bacterial small subunit ribosomal RNA", at positions 777 to 1304 of the family's 1533-position model. The record is from RNAcentral.